CCGGCGAGUUACGAUUUGAUGCAAGGUUAAGCAGUAAAUGUGGAGCCGUAGCGAAAGCGAGUCUGAAUAGGGCGUUUAGUAUUUGGUCGUAGACCCGAAACCAGGUGAUCUACCCUUGGUCAGGUUGAAGUUCAGGUAACACUGAAUGGAGGACCGAACCGACUUACGUUGAAAAGUGAGCGGAUGAACUGAGGGUAGCGGAGAAAUUCCAAUCGAACCUGGAGAUAGCUGGUUCUCUCCGAAAUAGCUUUAGGGCUAGCCUCAAGUGAUGAUUAUUGGAGGUAGAGCACUGUUUGGACGAGGGGCCCCUCUCGGGUUACCGAAUUCAGACAAACUCCGAAUGCCAAUUAAUUUAACUUGGGAGUCAGAACAUGGGUGAUAAGGUCCGUGUUCGAAAGGGAAACAGCCCAGACCACCAGCUAAGGUCCCAAAAUAUAUGUUAAGUGGAAAAGGAUGUGGCGUUGCCCAGACAACUAGGAUGUUGGCUUAGAAGCAGCCAUCAUUUAAAGAGUGCGUAAUAGCUCACUAGUCGAGUGACACUGCGCCGAAAAUGUACCGGGGCUAAACAUAUUACCGAAGCUGUGGAUUGUCCUUUGGACAAUGGUAGGAGAGCGUUCUAAGGGCGUUGAAGCAUGAUCGUAAGGACAUGUGGAGCGCUUAGAAGUGAGAAUGCCGGUGUGAGUAGC
Molecule: ribosomal RNA, 686 nt
Filed under: Staphylococcus aureus
Lineage: Bacteria; Bacillati; Bacillota; Bacilli; Caryophanales; Staphylococcaceae
Description: partial 23S ribosomal RNA
Rfam family: Bacterial large subunit ribosomal RNA
Source: RNAcentral